RNAcentral lists this small RNA (239 nucleotides) under Tolypothrix bouteillei. RNAcentral's name for it is "c-di-AMP sequence". It matches the Rfam family "c-di-AMP riboswitch aptamer (ydaO/yuaA leader)". From Rfam's summary of the family: This family represents a conserved RNA structure found upstream of the ydaO and yuaA genes in Bacillus subtilis and related genes in other bacteria. The ydaO/yuaA element is thought to act as a genetic "off" switch for the ydaO and yuaA genes in its native state. The record is from RNAcentral. Lineage: Bacteria; Bacillati; Cyanobacteriota; Cyanophyceae; Nostocales; Tolypothrichaceae.
AUUCGGUCUGCCUAAUUCUUGGUUUGCCUUAGACACAGUGUUCCCGUAGGUAAACUUGAAGCGGAGGAACCACCGUUGGGGCUAAUCUUUAAAAAGGAUAGAGACUUAAGUAUAAAGGAUAAAUAAGAGGUCCUUUUUCUCACAUCAUCCUUUAAACUUUAUAUUUCAUCCUUGUUAAAGAGGGACAUCUCUCAGUCCUAGCCCGUCAGCUAACUUCGUCGGCAUUGAGAGGAGACUGA